AAUCAACGCUGGCGGCGUGCCUCAGACAUGCAAGUCGAACGCGAAAGUUUCCUUCGGGAGAUGAGUAGAGUGGCGCACAGGUGAGUAACACGUGAGUAAUUUACCUUCGGGUGGGGAAUACUAACCGGAAACGGUUGUUAAUACCGCAUAAUGCAGCGGCAUCAAUGAUGACAGUUGUUAAAGCGGGGGAUUGGAGCAAUCCGACCUCGCGCCUGAAGAGAAGCUCGCGGCAGAUUAGCUAGUUGGUAAGGUAAUGGCUUACCAAGGCGACGAUCUGUAACCGGCCUGA
Molecule: ribosomal RNA, 289 nt
Filed under: uncultured bacterium
Lineage: Bacteria
Description: partial 16S ribosomal RNA
Rfam family: Bacterial small subunit ribosomal RNA
Source: RNAcentral